GGUUCCGUAGUGUAGUGGUUAGCACUCCAGACUUUGAAUCUGGCGACCUGGGUUCGAAUCCCGGCGGGACCU
This 72-nucleotide transfer RNA is filed under the name Panicum miliaceum (proso millet). It matches the Rfam family "tRNA". From Rfam's summary of the family: Transfer RNA (tRNA) molecules are approximately 80 nucleotides in length. Their secondary structure includes four short double-helical elements and three loops (D, anti-codon, and T loops). The record is from Rfam by way of RNAcentral. RNAcentral also lists the same sequence under 5 other names. Lineage: Eukaryota; Viridiplantae; Streptophyta; Magnoliopsida; Poales; Poaceae.